Molecule: ribosomal RNA, 468 nt
Filed under: uncultured bacterium
Lineage: Bacteria
Description: partial 16S ribosomal RNA
Rfam family: Bacterial small subunit ribosomal RNA
Source: RNAcentral
GACGAACGCUGGCGGCGUGCUUAACACAUGCAAGUCGAACGGAAAGGCCCUGCUUUUGUGGGGUGCUCGAGUGGCGAACGGGUGAGUAACACGUGAGUAACCUGCCCUUGACUUUGGGAUAACUUCAGGAAACUGGGGCUAAUACCGGAUAGGAGCUCCUGCUGCAUGGUGGGGGUUGGAAAGUUUCGGCGGUUGGGGAUGGACUCGCGGCUUAUCAGCUUGUUGGUGGGGUAGUGGCUUACCAAGGCUUUGACGGGUAGCCGGCCUGAGAGGGUGACCGGCCACAUUGGGACUGCGAGACGGACCAGACUCCUACGGGAGGCAGCAGUGGGGAAUAUUGCACAAUGGGCGGAAGCCUGAUGCAGCAACGCCGCGGGCGGGAUGACGGCCUUCGGGUUGUAAACCGCUUUCGCCUGUGACGAAGCGUGAGUGACGGUAAUGGGUAAAGAAGCACCGGCUAACUACGUG